This 465-nucleotide ribosomal RNA is filed under the name uncultured bacterium. RNAcentral describes it as "partial 16S ribosomal RNA". It matches the Rfam family "Bacterial small subunit ribosomal RNA", at positions 339 to 795 of the family's 1533-position model. The record is from RNAcentral.
CUACGGGGCGCUGCAGUGAGGAAUAUUGCGCAAUGGGGGAAACCCUGACGCAGCGACGCCGCGUGGAUGAUGAAGGCCUUAGGGUCGUAAAAUCCUGUCAGGUGGGAAGAAGUGGAUAUAGAUUAAUACUCUAUUUCUUUGACGGUACCACCAAAGGAAGCACCGGCUAACUCCUUGCCAGCAGCCGCGGUAAUACGGAGGGUGCAAACGUUGUUCGGAAUUACUGGGCGUAAAGCGCGCGUAGGCGGUUUGUUAAGUCAGAUGUGAAAGUCCAUGGCUCAACUAGGGAAGUGCAUUUGAAACUGGCAGACUUGAGUACUGGAGGGGGUGAUGGAAUUCCCGGUGUAGAGGUGAAAUUCGUAGAUAUCGGGAGGAAUACCGGUGGCGAAGGCGAUCACCUGGCCAGAUACUGACGCUGAGGUGCGAAAGCGUGGGGAGCAAACAGGAUUAGAUACCCGCGUAGUC